GAAUCAGCAAGGCCAUAUGCUCCACCUCCUCUACGUAAAACCCCAAAUGAAAACGCUUACUGUUAGCUUUUUGAGGAGUGUGGGAUUUCAGCAUUAGCUGCCCUUUCUCCUUUCUCAGUGGUGUGCAAUAAUAAAACUCCUAUUUUCUUCCACUACACCUGGUGUCAGAGAUUGGAUUGCUGUGCAACAGCUCAAAAAAAAAGAAACCCUACUUUAGGUCUUUAGUGGACAUAUACCAGAAAACAAGAUCACCAUCGUGUUAUCCAUGACCUCCUGAGUGUAUUUCUUGGUCUCAACGUGUCCUCCUCCCCAUCUCAUUCUACUCGUGUGGGAGUCUUGGACAUGGGACCCAUUUUAAUGUAUGUGAAGGGAAUCAACGUCUUUACAAUAGCAAGCCGUCCCAUCUGUGAACAUAAUGCAUCUCCCAUUACCAAGCAGUGUGAUCUUGCACGAGUUCCUUUCCUUUUCCAAGCCUCAGUUCUACUACGUGAAAAUGGAGGUAAUCGUACCUAUGUUGAAGACAGUUUGUGGAGAUGAAAUGAGAAGUAUAAAAGAGCAUCUAGUGGAGUGUCAGACACAAGGGAGGCCUUAAUAAAAGAUUCUUUUGCACGACUGCUACAUCAAGCUAUUUCCAUGGCACAAAACUCAUCUCUCUAUAUAGUUGGAAACCGAGUGAUCUAGCCAGUGACUCUGUGUCAAUGUAACUUUGCUGAAAACGAUUUCAACUUACAGUAUAUUAUAAGCGUAGUUCUACCCUUUCUUCAGAAUCCAAGCUCAACAUUCCAUAAAUGACUGGGGAGCCUACUGGAAGAAUUGCAUCUUACCAAUUCCAAGGACAGAGCGAUCUUUAAAAGAAUGCUAAAGAAAGAGAUUUAGAACAUUUCUCAACAUCUUAUGG
RNAcentral lists this long non-coding RNA (898 nucleotides) under Equus caballus (horse). RNAcentral's name for it is "lncRNA (ENSECAG00000060262.1)". The record is from RNAcentral. Lineage: Eukaryota; Metazoa; Chordata; Mammalia; Perissodactyla; Equidae.